CCAGUAUCCAGUGCCAAAAAGCACAGCUUAGGAAUGUAGUAGGAACAUAGGAAUUGCCACAACAGUCCAUCUUGUCAGCCUCCUGUCUCUGUCGGCUGCUGGUGCCAGAUGCAAAUUCUUGAAGUAACUACGUAAAAGAAGUUCUCCUAAAAGAAAUACUGAGGCGUGGCAGGAGGGAAGGAAAAUAAGAGUGCCUGGAAAGGAGAGACUGGCAGAAAGGCUUUUUUUUUUUUUUUUUUUUUUUUUCCCUCUCCUUUCAAACAUUACUAUUAUUUUUUCCAGCUAUUUACAGAUUUAUUUCAUAGUACUCAAAGCUGAUUUUCUUUUUUUCCUUCCCUUGCUGAGUAGCCCUCAACUGUGCCACACACAGGCAGCAGCAGUGAAAACGGAGGAGGGAGCUUCUUGCUUUCUGUUUCAGGCGAGGAAGUGAAGGGCUUUAAAAGGUGACAACAAUUUGCCCAAGAUCAUAGGAAGAUGCAGCAGAGCAUUUAACAGAGGCAGCCGUGAGGAUGCCUCGUGGAGCGCCGUGUUGGGAAGCAGUAUAUGCGGAAUAUCCUCACGGCGAGUUCAUCUAGCCUGUCUAAUGGCUAGUUAUUGUUUGAAAUGCUUGCAUGAAAGCACAGCACGGUGUGUGAGCGCUAGAAAAUUCAACGGUACAAGGGAGUUAUUUAGCUUAUGCCCUUGAGAUUAAUCACAGGCUCAGUAACUUACCUCCAGAGCAGUAUCUUUCUGCUGUAAUGUGACUUGCUCAGAUAGCAGCUGAGCAGCCAAGGACUAGGCGGUUUGCAAAAAUCACGAUGUCAAAUAUUUUGGUGUCGAAGCAUUUCGAUGUCGAGUGGAAUCCACAGUUUGCAAUGUGCAGCUUUGCAGCCGAGGAAGCGGCAGUACCCCCUCGCUGCAUUGGCUAAUAGGCUGGAAAGCUGUGUUCGUUAUCGCCCUCGGGAGCCUUGUCUUGGUUCAGCGACAACGAGCCACAAGCCAAACAAGCUCUUGCUCAAACUUCAGGCUGCGGAGGGUCAGGGAUAAAGACAGCUGCCGACACGACUUUGAGUGUACCUCCUUCUCAGGGCAGUCCUCGGGCGGCACAGAGCUGGCUCCAUAAGAACUGUGCUUCCUUCAGCUGUGCAAGAGAGAAAGGGGAGGGAGGUAUCGACCUUUCAUCACUGACCAGCAGAUGCAGGGCUACCCUGGAUUCACUCAAGGUAUUGCAUCAGAG
Molecule: long non-coding RNA, 1216 nt
Filed under: Anas platyrhynchos (mallard)
Lineage: Eukaryota; Metazoa; Chordata; Aves; Anseriformes; Anatidae
Description: lncRNA (ENSAPLG00020012097.1)
Source: RNAcentral